RNAcentral lists this ribosomal RNA (374 nucleotides) under uncultured organism. RNAcentral's name for it is "partial 16S ribosomal RNA". It matches the Rfam family "Bacterial small subunit ribosomal RNA", at positions 526 to 896 of the family's 1533-position model. The record is from RNAcentral.
AGAGGGGUGCGAGCGUUAAUCGGAAUUACUGGGCGUAAAGAGCACGUAGGUGGGAUAAGUAAGUUGGAUGUGAAAGCCCUAGGGCUUAACCUAGGAAUGUCAUCCAAAACUGCUUGUCUAGAGUACAGUAGAGGAAAGUGGAAUUUCCGGUGUAGCGGUGAAAUGCGUAGAUAUCGGAAGGAACAUCAGUAGCGAAGGCGACUUUCUGGACUGAUACUGACACUGAGGUGCGAAAGCGUGGGGAGCGAACAGGAUUAGAUACCCUGGUAGUCCACGCCGUAAACGAUGAGAACUAGCCGUUGGGAACCAUUGAGUUCUUUGUGGCGCAGUUAACGCGUUAAGUUCUCCGCCUGGGGAGUACGGCCGCAAGGCUA